Molecule: long non-coding RNA, 837 nt
Filed under: Homo sapiens (human)
Lineage: Eukaryota; Metazoa; Chordata; Mammalia; Primates; Hominidae
Source: RNAcentral
GCUCUCCAUGUGGAUGUGGCCAAAGUUAAGUUGGGGCCAUAUUCAAUGUGUUACAAUUACUGGAGACAAAGCAGGAAUGGAGAUAUUUAAGAACUAUUACCUUAGGUCAUGAGAUUUGCAUUCAUUACCACCUUCACCUAAACCGCAUUUUAUUCCACUUGGAAGCAAGGUUGGUGGUUUCCGGCAGGCAAUAAAAUUCAAUGACAGAAAUUCCAAUCUAAUAAGUGACGGCUACCCAGCCUUUAAAAUUGUACAAAGUCUUGCUUUGUCACUCAGGCUGGAGUGCAGUAGUGCAAUUAUCACUCACCACAGCAUAGUGAGACCCUGUUUCUACAAAAAUCGUACCUAUAUAACACCAAAAUAACUUGCCUUAGAUCUGUUUUGCUUAGGAUUUAUUAUUCUGGCUUUAAAGUCUUUGUAGUCAAACUCAUGCUGCAAAUUAGCCAACAGUAAGUGCUGAAAAGAAUCUAAAACAAAACUUAGAUCAACCUUUUUAUUUUAGAAAUGAAAACUAUAGAGAUGAACUAGAGAGACAAUGGAAUACUGUCCUUUGGCUGAGUCCUGCUGAAACCUGGUGGUGACACACAGAAGCAGGGUGAAUAUUCAAGAAAUACUGUUAAAUCACAAACUACUCAGAUGCAAACACAAGAGUGCAUGCUGGAACUGGCUUAUGAAACACAAGCCAGCUGGCUGCCCUAGAAAAAGUCUGAGGAAAAAGCCUUCUUCAUCUAAUUCAUAAAUGGGAAAUUGAAUUUCCAGGCUUAGCUGGCUUAUUUUUAUCUUCUUUUGUUUGUUUGAACUAUGUAUUGCUGAAUAACUGUGACAACAUUGAAAAGA